Molecule: ribosomal RNA, 200 nt
Filed under: uncultured bacterium
Lineage: Bacteria
Description: partial 16S ribosomal RNA
Rfam family: Bacterial small subunit ribosomal RNA
Source: RNAcentral
GAUGAACGCUAGCGGCAGGCUUAACACAUGCAAGUCGAGGGGUAUGGUUCUUCGAAGCCAGAGACCGGCGCACGGGUGCGUAACGCGUAUGCGAAUCUACCUUUUACAGAGGGAUAGCCCAGAGUAAUUUGGGAUUAAUACCGUACAUAGUAUAGCUCUACCGCAGUGGUAGUACGUAUUAAGUCACAACGGUAAAGAUG